AGUGAACGCUGGCGGUAGGCCUAACACAUGCAAGUCGAACGGCAGCACAGUAAGAGCUUGCUCUUACGGGUGGCGAGUGGCGGACGGGUGAGGAAUACAUCGGAAUCUACUUUUUCGUGGGGGAUAACGUAGGGAAACUUACGCUAAUACCGCAUACGACCUACGGGUGAAAGCAGGGGAUCUUCGGACCUUGCGCGAUUGAAUGAGCCGAUGUCGGAUUAGCUAGUUGGCGGGGUAAAGGCCCACCAAGGCGACGAUCCGUAGCUGGUCUGAGAGGAUGAUCAGCCACACUGGAACUGAGACACGGUCCAGACUCCUACGGGAGGAAGCAGUGGGGAAUAUUGGACAAUGGGCGCAAGCCUGAUCCAGCCAUACCGCGUGGGUGAAGAAGGCCUUCGGGUUGUAAAGCCCUUUUGUUGGGAAAGAAAAGCAGAAGGUGAAUACCCCGCUGUUCUGACGGUACCCAAAGAAUAAGCACCGGCUAACUUCGUG
This 492-nucleotide ribosomal RNA is filed under the name uncultured bacterium. Its description in RNAcentral is "partial 16S ribosomal RNA". It matches the Rfam family "Bacterial small subunit ribosomal RNA", at positions 29 to 507 of the family's 1533-position model. The record is from RNAcentral.